Molecule: ribosomal RNA, 468 nt
Filed under: uncultured bacterium
Lineage: Bacteria
Description: partial 16S ribosomal RNA
Rfam family: Bacterial small subunit ribosomal RNA
Source: RNAcentral
GACGAACGCUGGCGGCGUGCUUAACACAUGCAAGUCGAACGGAAAGGCCCUGCUUUUGUGGGGUGCUCGAGUGGCGAACGGGUGAGUAACACGUGAGUAACCUGCCCUUGACUUUGGGAUAACUUCAGGAAACUGGGGCUAAUACCGGAUAGGAGCUCCUGCUGCAUGGUGGGGGUUGGAAAGUUUCGGCGGUUGGGGGUGGACUCGCGGCGUAUCAGCUUGUUGGUGGGGUAGUGGCUUACCAAGGCUUUGACGGGUAGCCGGCCUGAGAGGGUGACCGGCCACAUUGGGACUGAGAUACGGCCCAGACUCCUACGGGAGGCAGCAGUGGGGAAUAUUGCACAAUGGGCGGAAGCCUGAUGCAGCAACGCCGCGUGCGGGAUGACGGCCUUCGGGUUGUAAACCGCUUCCGCCUGUGACGAAGCGUGAGUGACGGUAAUGGGUAAAGAAGCACCGGCUAACUACGUG